UAACACCUGCAGUAUGUUACAGCGGAUUUAAGUUGCAUCUAAGAUUGUGCUGUUGAUUUAGUGCUCUCCUAUGUUUGUUUGUUCACCGCUGAAUAAUUUAAGAUGUUGCCAUUAUUUGAGGGGCCUCCUCUAUGUUACAAGUGAUUCGAUCCGAGAAGAACCCGGCUAGGUUCUUCUGAUCGAGGCAGGCCGUAUGAUGCUCAUGCAUGUCUAACUGAUAAGAUAAUUUAUGUUGUGCCAUUUCUCUGAUUACUUUUGUUCAUCGUAAUUUGCAGUGAAAUGGUUUGUUGUAUAUUCCAUCUAACUAUGACCCCGCUGUAUUUUAGGCAUUUAGGUUGCACAAUCAAAUAUUACAACAACUAUGGGCCAGGUGUUCGUAUAACUUUUAGCUUUUAUGUGCAUGUUUAAUUGGUACAGCCUUUGCUAUAUAUUCGGAUAAUUCAGAUACAUGUUUCUUUUAUACAGAUGCAUGUUUUUUUAUAGAGAUCCAUGCUUCUUUGGUAAGUGUAUACUACCAAGGGCGUAUCGCUGUUCCAUGUAUGAUGUAAAAUUUAGUCAUAGGAACUGAAAUUCAUAUGGCCGUAGGGACUGGAAUUGAAGUUUUGUUAGUUCAAUGUGAUUCUUGAUGUUACUUGCAAAACCUGUAACACAUCAUAGGAAUGGGGAAUUUGCAAUGCAAACUCCUGACAUUUUCUUUGGUUAAACUAUAUAAACUUUGCUUUAUUCUCUUUGAGGUUCUAAUUCCUCAGGGCACUUUGGUUAAAGAUGGAUUGAUUAGUUAUGAGCAACUGACCAGCUACCAACGAACUUUUUUGAAACUAGAAAAAUGUAUGUUUUAUAUACCAAACAGCUUUGCGUGUUCAUUCUCUUAUACUAUUAUGUUGGGCUCCGUAUGGUAUCCAGCGACUGUGAAUUGGACUUGUUGUGCUGCAGCCUGCAGCGACAGACACUCGGCACCUGACCAAACCGAAUACCCCCUAUGUGGUCAAUUAACUGGGCCAGCCAAUUAGUCAAUCUGACAGCUGAUAAAAUGCUGAAAUUUCAGAUGGACCGAUUAACUGGCAGAGGAGGGUGUGUAUGUUGUUGUGAUGCUACUGGUUGGCUAUCUGCAUUGCUGCCCUGUCCUCUCCUCUGUGUACACUACUACCGCUGCAAGUGUUGCAUCUUUGAAAAUAAAUUUGGAUGAUAUGGGGUGGCCUAGGGUAAUACCAAGAUAUGUACUCCCUCUGAUCCGUAUUAAUAUAAGAGAAUGGACAAUUAAUAUGGAUCGAAGGGAGUAGCAAACUUUGGGAAAUGAUUGUUUGCCAAAGACAAUUUUGCUGUGCAUCAGAUAUGUUCUGUUGUGGAGUCAUUGACGCUUGCUUGCUUUUGCUCGGAAAAUAUAUGCUGAAAUCAGAAUUUUGGAGUUUGAUUGCAGGGAGAAUUGUAUGACGGAUUUCUUUACCAAAUGGCUCUUUCAGACUUUGCCUUGGAAAACUGGUUACAUUUGCAGAUGUCAUUUUUUGUACAGAGAUUCAAUCUAACUAAUAUCAGAAACAACACUUAGGACCUGUUCGGAGCCCCUCCGCUCCGUGAGGCUGCUCCCGGAGCUGACGGAGUUCUAGUUAAAAAAUGCAGAGCCAGCGAAACGGUACUCCCCAUAUUCUCAAUUUGCACGGAGCGGGCAGGCUGCCGAACAGCGCCUUAAAGGACAAGGAUAUCUGACUAUUUGUUCUAGUGGUCCAUAUGCCUGAACCAAAGGAUUGUAUCAAUCUGACGAUUUGUUCUUGAAGUUUGAUAAAAACUGAAGAAGUAAAAGAGCCCUAACAAUUGAAAAUCCAUUUCUGCACCCGAGCUCAUCUGCACCCGUGCUGACGAAAAAAAUAAAAACAAAUACUAGAAAAGUUCAAAAAAUUCCAAAUAAAAUUUGUGUGGUAGACAAUUUGAUGCGUGAGGCUCGCUUCAAAUUUCAAGUCGUUUGGACAUACGAGCAGCUCUUAGCAAAAAAGACAAAUUGGGGUCUGUAAAAAUGUUUACUGUUUAUGUAUUGUUUUGGCCCGAUUUGUCUUUUUUGCUGAGAGCUGCUCAUAUGCCCAAAUGACUUGAAAUUUGGGGCGGGCCUCACGCAUCAAAUUUUCUAUCACACAAAUUUUAUUUGGAAUUUUUUGAAUUUGUUUUGAAUUUUUUAUGAAUUGUUUUUUAACCGGGUGCAGAUGAGCCUGGACAAACUUUUCAUACUAGCGGUGAAGACAGAAUGGCCAAAUUAGCAUUUCAUUUUGAGUUGCAGCUACUACUGAUGAAUCAUACAAAAAAGCUUUGAACCCUUUCAACAUCUCAGGGGAGAGAAAAAUAAUGUGAAUGGUCUCUAAUCAUCAGAGCACAAGUAGAGAAACAGUGAUUUGCACUAUGCAAACAAGACUUCUGUUCUCUCUCGUUUCCUCCGAAUCAGCUCAGCACGAAGCUUGUGACCUUGCAAUUAGGAAAGCAGAAAUUUGUCACGGAUCAAAAACAACGUUUUAGGCACCGAGCAUAUCAAUCAUCAAAACUCUUCGUAUGCACUCCCCUUGCCACUCUGGGUGGUCUGAUGUUAGAACAACAAUCCGGCUUGGUGCAAUCCUUUGGAAGUAAGUAUCAGGUGUGAACCACGUUACGGUGAAGAUUAUGUUGAAACCAUGUUUAGAAGUUCUAUAAAAUUGUACCCAAAAAAAACAUACAGGUUGAUGUUCCAGAAGUAUGCAAAAUUUCAAGGUUCAGCACAUAAUCAUUUUGUAGAUAUGUGAAUAAAAUAAAUUCAUCAAUAAGGUUGUUGAAAUUGAUUUUUCUUGAUUUUCACAGGUUUCCACUCCAAGAUAGUCUGGGAUGACUCCUAGGAUUCCAGUAACAGUGUGCAGGCUGGACUCAGCACACAAAGAAAAAGCCUACAAUACAUAAUAGUGUGUAAUGACGCAAUCACGAUGACAAUAAGCUUCGACAACAGAACAACCACAAGACAACAGAACAACCACAACGACGAGUGCAUCAUCGAACAAAUUCUUUCAAAUUUUUGGAGUCGUCAAAACAACAGGAUUGCAGGGAGAAUUGGGUUGAAGAGCACAUGGAGAAUUCCUAAUUCUAGCACAUGGAGUAUAAAGCAGGAAGUCAGAAUAACCGUAUGCGAUUUCCCUUUUUGAGUUGCAGCUGCUAUGAAUGGAUCAUACAAGUAAGCUUUGAAUCGUUACAAAGAGUACAUCUCGGGGCGGAGAAAAAAUGUUGGAAAUUCUCUGAUCAUCGGAGCACAAGCAGUGUUCUGUCUAUGCAAAUAACACCAUGAAGCCUGCGGCCCUAGAAGCACAUCGUUUCCUCCGAAUCAAUUCACCAGGAAGCCUGCGACCCUGGAAUUAGAGAAGCGUUAUUUCGUCAUGGAUCAGAACAAAUUUGAAGCGUAAAAUGUUUCAGCCAUACCAAAUCUGCUGGUGUGGGGAUUAGUCAUGAAUUUUCAGAAGAUCUGAUCCACACAGAGUAAACAAGAGGUAAAUUCAACUCACCGAAAACUCAGAUCGGUUGUGUCCUAGGCGCACAGGAUGAGCUUGCCGGUGGGUAAGGCUACGGCGGCGACGGCGAGGAGGCAUGCGGUGACGACGUUCCGGUAGCACCACCGGAGCGGGCCCCACGCCCCCGCGCCCUCGACGCUGGCGCAGUUGGUCCUCGUCACCCCGCACUGCGGCUCCUUGGACAGGUCGAACGAGGCGCCCUUCAUGCGCAGCUCCUGCACGCACCGCGCGAGGGCCCGGGCGUCGCCGCGCUCCCGCCGCAGCCGCCGCGCGGCGCGCCAGUAGGCGCAGACGCGGAGCUGCACGGCCGCCGCGAGCGCGAGGGAGGCGGCCAGCGACAGGGACGACGGCGCCCACCACCUCCCGCAGGCGCGCGACGGGGGGCCGCCCGCGACGGAGGCGGCGAAGAGGAGCGCGAGGGAGAGGCCGUGGAGGGCGAGGAAGGCCGCGCAGAGGUAGAAGGCGUCCCGCCGCGCCGCGUCCAUGACCGCCUCGAGCGCGCACGCGCGGCGGUUGAGGCGGGACUCCUCCCGCUGCCACAGCUUGAGCAGCAGCAGGUGGCCCCCGCUGUCGGCGAUCUCGCCCAGCGGGUGGUGCCCCGACGCCGCCUUGCCGAGGAACGCGCCGCUGGCUGGCUCCGCUCCGUCGCCGGUGACCGGGAUCUCCACGACGUGGGCGUCGUUUUUGGUGGGCUCCGCCGCCAUUGGAAGUUGCGUUCUGAAUUGGAAGGUUUUGAGUUGAUAUGAGAUCGGACUCGGAAGGCAGAAAUGGAAAUGAGGGAGUAGAAGCGUGAUGAUCCGGUGUUGGGUAGUCGCGCUCGCGCGGCUUAAGGAAGGAAGGGAAGGGGUCGUGUGCGCCCAACGGUCGAGUACUUUAGUGAGGCACGCAACGGUCGAAUUUUCGCUGGGCCUCACGGCGGUGGCCCUUUCACAUGUUCAUCUAAUUAUCUUAUCAUCAAUAAUUUCUCAAAAAAAAAUCUAAUCAUCAAUGAUUACUCAAAAUAUCCCUAACAGAUCGUUUGGCACCCGGGCUUUCAUUUCAUUUGAUAGAAAUGAAAUGAAAUCUCAUUCCAAGGAGGAUUUCAUUUUGUGGGAUUUGGAUUCCAAGUUCAAUUUUCUUAUUUGGCUGCCAUAGGGGAUUUGUGAAAUAAAUGCCAUAUGCUGUUUGGCUGCUAUGUGCAUAUCUCAAUAUCUACAAUCAACACAUUUACAAUCUAAAAAUGAUAAUCAGCCCCCCAAAAAACUGCAUUUUUUCAGCAUCAUCUUCACGCAUUCAAACAUUCAAAUAUGUCAAAUAUAAUAAUCUAAAAUGCAGACAAUAAUAGUGACAAGAUCUUUGAAGGGCCAUUAAAGGCUGAAACUUGUGCUCGUCGGAAAGAAAGUUCUUCGAAUGUUCAUAGCUUAUUAAGCACGAUAUGGAAGAUAAAAGACUACGACUCGCAUUACAAAUGCAUUAGGACGAUAAAAAAUAAAUAUUCGCAUCCAACAAAGGGGCUUGAACUUGCAUGAAGAUCUUGGUUUGGCCUUCUGGCUUCAUGUGAACUUGCAUGAAGAUCUUGGUUUGCCCUGCAGAUAUCAUGUGAAGCAUGUAAGCAAAAUUACUACAGUAGUUAGCAAAUGUUUAAUUUCUAAACACCAUCUUAAUUUAUUAAUUGGCACAAUUAAAAAGUCAGAUAUUUUCUUCUUUACAAUAAGCUAAAACACUAUAAUGGGACAAAUGCAAAAGGGAGAAAAAUAUCCACUCUCACUGAUGUAAUUGAGACACUUCGAUUCCCAGGCUAAGAAACUAUUCCCUCCGUUCGGAAUUACUUGUCUCGAAAAUGGAUGUAUCUAGAACUAAAAUACGUCUAGAUACAUCCAUUUCUGCGACAAAUAAUUCCGAACAGAGGGAGUAGUAGCAAACAACCUUUUCUAGUUAUCUAGGCGAAGUAUCAAGUGAAAACCUUAUUUGGGUGAAAAUCUGGAAACUUGGACCCCGUUGGAUCUGUAGCAAACGACAUCUACUCAAGGGCGGAGAACCCGCCAGCAACUUAAACACACAUUAGCACAAAACCCUCUCCUUCCUAGUAAUGUUUUCAGGUUUUCAAGCAUUGGCUUAUCCCCUCCCGUUCCUAAUAGACUGUUUGUAAAGAUCUGAAUAAUGAUUGAAACACCAUUGCAACUAGCUACAUGAGUAUACUUUCUAGUAAUAAGUAUAGAAGAAGUAAGGGCAGAAAAUGCAGUAAGCAUACAUUGGUGCGCGUCGGUCCUAAACAAACGGUUUUUAACCCCUUUCCGCGACGGCAUAUGGAACCGUCUCCAAGUGAGUGUGGGCGAUAGGGGGGUCCUUCCCACAAGACCCAGAAAUCGUCAGGGAUAGGGAGCCUUGAUGCAUACAGUUGUCCCUGAAUAGCCGUUUCCGAUAUCUCGAAUAUCCCAAACGCUUCAUCCUUGCCACUCGUUCAUUGCCAUCACAGUCGGAGUUUUGUGGUUCUACCUAAAACCAGGCAGAUUCCAGGCACGACAGGUUUCUAGGAAGAUUCUAGGCACAGGAGAUUUACGAUGCCUGGCACAUCACAAAUAGUUCAUGAUUAUAAACCGUGUACGAUAGGUAGACAAUCACACACAUUUACUUUUCCCGCACCGUAUGUGAUAGUGUCUGACAUCACACACGCUUUGCAAAAGGCAACUGUGUGCAUGCUUGCACACGUUUCCUCUCUGUGAACCGUCUCGGAUUAUGGUGUAUAUCACAAAAGUUUGUGUUUUACCAACCGUGUGUGCCGUAAUGACCUGCACAACGUAAUUUCGCCCUAAUUUAAUUGCUGCUAUUUAAAAUUGUACCUAAUUUAAACUUGAAAGUAGGCUAUAGCUUUAUUCAUAUCCAUCAGGUUCAAACAACCAAUGCAUUAUUCGAUUCACAGGUACACAUGUUUAAGAAUUACAGAAGCACCAAAUAAGGAAUGAUUCACAGGUACAUAUGUUCUAUAUUGUACUAUUACAGAUGGUAAAGAAAGAGGCGACAGACAUUCCAGUUGCUGAACAAGGUGAAGCAGAAUGGCCCUAUUGUGCUCUCCUGGAUGCAGAAGGCAUGCAGGACUCUAGUCCAACCCCUUGUGAUGGCCGGCCGCCAAUCAUGUAGUUUGAGAGGUAAUCUUGAGUAAACUGCUUCAGGAUCCACUGCAAAAGAAAAAGAUUCAGACAUUGUCAUCUAACACAACUCAUUACGGGCAAUAAAAAGAAGGCUACAGGGUUCUUACUUACCAUCCUGCAGUUCACUGUUGUCUUGUAUAAAGUGUAAACAAAUAGUUCGAUUGACAUCUUUUGACCCAUUUUAGUAACAAUCUUUACCAGUUUCCUCACUUGAUGCUAGUUCAUGAACAUCUCAUUGCCCCAUACGCAGAAAGGGUCGAAGAGUGGAUCUUGGGCAAUGAUAUAUGUACCUAAAAGCAUCAAAUUAAUAUUAGAAGCUAAACAACAAUUGAAAAAUGAUGUAGUACAACACUCCAUCCAUCCCAGUAUAUAAGAUUUUAUUACAUGUAUAUCUAGACAUCAUCAGAACAUUAAGGCAACACUCUUCCUUGUUGCUAUGUAGCCUGAGAUUGCAUAUUUAGUCAUUCAGUACAAUGCAUGUUGCUAAACAACAAUUAAAAAACUAAAAGGCAUGUUAACUGCAAUAUCCUUAACAGCAACCAAAUAUCGUAAUUCAUAGUGGUAUUGUUGAAACUGUUAUUGAUGAAAUUGAACUGCACGGCAAAUAGUUGCACAUAUAGAGCAUCACAUUGUGAAGAACUGAAAUAAACAAGUCAUAAGGACAUCUCUAGGCGAUCCUUAAAAAGUUAAAGGACUAAAACCCUUAGUGGAUAUAUAUAUACUCCAGCAAUUUUUGGCCUUUUCUAGUCGAUCCCCUAAACUUAAGGUUGUAAACUUCAAUUUGAUCAAGUUUAGAGCAGGUUCAACCGAAAGUAGCAUGCAUUCAAACAUAAACAUAGAUAGUUUUGCAUAACCGAACAUAAAACAUAAAUUUAAACUAAGCUAAACUACUUUCGAUCGAAGUAGAGGUCGAGCCAAUCCUUCCUCGUCAUGUACGGUGUGCCGCGAGCCGGGUCCAGGCCAGUACCGUCAUCGGGGUCGUUGGGGAAGGCACUCCUCCACUCGUCGACGUCGAUCUCCUCGUCCUCGGGGCCCACCUCGACGCCCUUCGCGUCGCCGUCGCUGCCGCCUUUGACCUCGUCAUUAGAGGAGAGCGCGAUAACCUCGCCGCCCACCGCGCCACCGUCCUCGCCGCCUCCGACCUCGUCAUCGGAGGAGAGCGCGAUAACCUCGCUGCCCUCCGCGCCGGAAAAGAUCACCCGCUCCGCCUCCACGAGCUCCGGGUGCUGCCGGCGGAGCUCUUGCAUGUAGGCCUCGUCGGCGGCCUCGGCCUCGAGAUGCUCCCAACCUCGCGGUCAUCCCGCGCCAUAGCCGAGCUCACCACCCCUGGCUCCGGCGGAACGAGGUGGACCGGACGUGUGCCGAAGGGGAAAUUGAGCCUAGCCGCCGCGCCGUGGUAGCGGACCUACCAGCGGUCGUACUCCAUGGCCACGAGCUCGGCCGUGUGGAAGCUACCGAGCCACCGGCGGGUGUGGGUCUCUAGAUCUGUAAUCUCGGCGACCCACGUCCCCCACCGCCGCUCCCGGACCCCGAGGUAGGACUUCUUCAGCUGCCGGGUCCGGGGAGGACGGGGAAUUCCUCGAACCGGCGUUGGGGCACGGCGGCGGGCGGAUAGGGGGACCGGCGACGGCGGAUCGGGCCCGCGGAGGAUGACAAGGACACCUCGGCGGCCACCUCGCCGGCGUCAGGCGAAAAGGCCGCGAUAAACCUCUUUUUGGCCAUUGGCUACUCGAGCUCCCCGGCACACAUGCAUAGGUUGAGGAUGGAGGCACCGGCGAUGGCAGCGACCUACAAAUGGUUUCGAGGGUUGUGUGUGUCUGUGUGAGCAGAGGUUGUGUUUGAGGAAAUACUGCGGGAACUGAAAAUUUUACUAGGCGGGAGUAACAAGGCGGGGCUACUGAAAAUUUGGAUCAAGGGCGAGCAAAUAUUUUUGAGAUUGCGAGGGAUGCAGAUGCGGGAGUAAAAUGCCGGGGCUACUGAAAAUUUGAAUCAAGGGACUGAAGUAGAGCGGGAGUAACAGACAUUGCACACGGUCCGCACAUACUAAUCAUGUGCUAUCAAACAUUAAAACCUUCCAGGUGGUAGAUAUUUUCGAGAUUGCGAGGGAUGCAGAGGCGGGAGUUUUGGGGGAGCGAGCUAGUGUGCUUGACACGCCGGCUGUGGACUGUAGCUGACGCACCUUCUCGCGUAAGCCAUAGGCGUACUAUACACCGACGGUUGGUGAGCAUAAACUAUGUUGGAUCUACUUGAUUUGAACUACAAAAUGGGGUCACAGCGGCAAUGGAUGGUGUUUGAAUUGCUAGACCUUUUAUCUGCAGUCAACAUGCAACUGUAUGCGUGUCGUAAAAGAAUUGGAAUUAUUCAGGGUUCGUUUGGACAUUUCAUACAUUAAACUGGUUUUCUAGCCAUUUCAGGUGCACAAUUUAAAAUUAAACUACAUGCACAUGCUCCGGUGCAUACAAAUUGGUUGAAAAAUCAAAUCUGUGUCCUUCAGUGCAUGCUUAGGUCCCAUGGAAUAAAUGGGAAUGAAUUUUUCGGGGUUCGUUUGGCCUUUUUUAGACAUUAAUUGUGUUUUCUAGGCAUUUUAUGUGCAUAAUUCAAAUUUGAACUACAAGCACAUGCUCCAAUGCACCAAAGUUGGUUGAAAAAUCACAUGUGUGUCCUUGGGUGAAUUUCUAGGUCCCAUGCAAGAGAUGGGAAUGAAAUUCAAACACCAUGGCACUGUUGAUUGCCGGCAAAACCUUGAGAUGCCUGGUUUUUAAAUUCUAGUAAAUCCAAAACUCGUCUGAAAUUCAUGAAACUUGGCAUGCUAUCAUGGAACGGCAUCAAUAUGCCGUGGUGAAAAUUUUAUCCCAUUUGGGGCAGGUUCGGGUAUAAGCUUCUCACAACAAGCAUGAUGGUUUCGAUAGGGAACGUACCAGCUUUGGUGACAGGACGAUAUCCGUUGCCUCUUAUUGCUUUCAAAAAUUUUCUAGUGUCAACAUAGAACAAAAGGAGUGUUGUGUUCUCUUGGAAUUUUUGGGAUUCGUUUGGCCUUUUUUAUAUAUUAACUGGGUUUUCUAGGCAUUUUAUGUGCAUAAUUCAAAUUUGAACUACAAGCACAUGCUCCAAUGCACCAAAGUUAGUUGAAAAAUCACAUGUGUGUCCUUGAGUGAAUUUCUAGGUCCCAUGCAAGAGAUGGAAUGAAAUUCAAACACCAGGGCAUUGUUGAUUGCCGACAAAACGUUGAGAUGCCUCGUUUUUAAAUUCUAGUAAAUCCAAAACUCGUAUGAAAUUCAUGAAACUUGGCAUGCUAUCAUGGAGCGGCAUCAACAUGCCGUGGUGAAAAUUUUGUCCCAUUUGGGGCAGGUUUGGGUAUAAGCUUCUCACAAACCAGAGCUUCUCACAACAAGCAUGAUGGUUUCGAUAGGGAAUGCACCACCUUUGGGGACGGGACGAUAUCCGUUGCCUCUUAUUGCUUUCAAAAAAUUUCUAGUGUCAACAUAGAACAACAGGAGUGUUGUGUUCAAUCUUGGUAUUUUUGGGGGUUCGUUUGGCCUUUUUUAUGCAUUAACUGGGUUUUCUAGGCAUUUUGCAUAAUUCAAAUUUGAACUACAAGCACAUGCUCCAAUGCACUAAGGUUGGUUGAAAAAUCACAUGUGUGUCCUUGGGUGAAUUUCUAGGUCCCAUGCAAGAGAAGGGAAUGAAAUUCAAACACCAGGGCACUUUUGAUUGCCGGCAAAAAGUUGAGAUGCCUGGUUUUUAAAUUCUAGUAAAUCCAAAACUCGUAUGAAAUUCAUGAAACUUGGCAUGCUAUCAUGGAGCGACAUCAACAUGCCGUGUUAAAAAAUUUGUACCAUUUGGGGCAGGUUCGGGUAUAUGCUUCUCACAAACCAUAGCUUCUCACAACAAGCAUGAUGGUUUCGGUAGGGAACGUCCCACCUUUGGGAACGAAACGAUAUCCAUUGCCUCUUAUUUCUUUCAAAAAAUUUCUCGUGUCAACAUAGAAUAACAGGAGUGUUGUGUCAAUUUUUGGGAUUUUUCGGGGUUCGUUUGGACAUUUCUAUGCAUUAACUGAGUUUUCAAUGCAUUUAUGUGCAUAAUUCAAAUUUGAACUACAUGCACAUGCUCCAAUGCACUAAGGUUGGUUGAAAAAUCUAAUCUGUGUCCUUGUGAAUUUCUAGGUCCAUGCAAGAGAUGGGAAUGAAAUUCAAACACCAGGGCAUUGUUGAUUGCCGGCAAAAUGUUGAGAUGCCUGGUUUUUAAAUUCUAGUAAAUUCAAAACUCGUCUGAAAUUCAUGAGACUUGGCAUGCUAUCAUGGAGCGGCAUCAACAUGCCGUGUUAAAAAAUUUGUCCCAUUUGGGGCAGGUUCGGUAUAUGCUUCUCACAAACCAGAGCUUCUCACAACAAGCAUGAUGGUUUCGGUAGGGAACGUCCCACCUUUGGGGACGAAACGAUAUCCAUUGCCUCUUAUUGCUUUCAAAAAUUUUCUCGUGUCAACAUAGAACAAUAGGAGUGUUGUGUCAAUUUUUGGGAUUUCCGGGGGUUCGUUUGGACAUUUUAUGCAUUAACUGAGUUUUCAAUGCAUUUAUGUGCAGAAUUCAAAUUUGAACUACAUGCACAUGCUCUAGUGCAUAUAAAUUUGUUGAAAAACCAAAUCUGUGUCCUUUGGUGCAUGCUUAGGUCCCAUGCAAGAAAUGGGAAUGAAUUUCAAACACCAGGGCACCGUUGAUUGCCGGCAAAACAUUGAGAUGCCCCGCUUUUAAAUUCUAGUAAAUCCAAAAAUCGUCUGAAAUUCAUGAAACUUGGCAUGCUUUCAUGGAGCGGCAUCAACAUGCCGUGGUAAAUUUUUUGUCCCGUUGGGGCAGGUUUGGGUAUAUGCUUCUCACAAACCAGAGCUUCUCACAACAAGCAUCAUGGUUUGGGUAGGGAACGUCCCACCUUUGGGGACGAAACGAUAUCCAAUGCCUCUUAUUGCUUCCAAAAUUUUUCUCGUGUCAACAACAGGAGUGUUGUGUCAAUUUUUGUGAUUUUUUGGGGUUCUUUUGGACAUUUUUAUGCAUUAACUGAGUUUUCAAUGCAUUUAUGUGCAUAAGUCAAAUUUGAACUACAUGCACAUGCUCUAGUGCAUAUAAAUUGGUUGAAAAAUCAAAUCUGUGUCCUUGGGUGCAUGCUUAGGUCCCAUGCAAGAAAUGUGAAUGAAUUUCAAACACCAAGGCAUCGUUGAUUGCCGACAAAACAUUGAGAUGCCUGGUUUUUAAAUUCUAGUAAAUCCAAAACUCGUCUGAAUUUCAUGAAACUUGGCAUGGUAUAAUGGAAUGGACCCGACAUGAUGUGGUAUUUUUCAUGUCCAUUUUGAGAGAAGGCGCACUCGAAUAAUGACAGCCAACAAAGGCAUUUUGAAAAAUUAGCUGCCACUUUAAUAUCUCAAACGUUUGUAUAAUUCAAAUCAUGUGCGUUCUGUUAACGAUUCACGUGACGCCACGUGUCUUGGUUUUAAUGGCUGUAGGAGGUGUCGUGCGGACAGCUGCUUGACCUUGACUGAACGGGAGGCGUGCGAGCGCAGUCCGGUGCGCAGGCUGACCGAGAGGCGUGCAAGCUGUCCUCCAAUGCGCAUGCUCACCGGGAAGCGUGCGUGUUGUAUGCUGCGAAGGCUCACUGGGAAGCGAGCCAUUUGACUUCGAUGGCUGCCCGCCUUCCUCUCCAUUAAUGGCGCUCGAACCGCUGUUUAAUACGGGCGGCCUUACCAUUUGCCUCCCAUUCCCCUCCCCCCGCAGACCUCCACCGCCAUGGCGCAGAAUGAUCAUCUGCCACUAGUCUUCAAGUUUGGUGAAGUCGACUCCGAGCCGGAGGAGAUAGAAAAUAAGGAGGAAUGGGGCCUCAUGGACAUGGCCCAGAACGAGCUGGCCGCGACGGCUCCUUCCCCCGCUCCCAUCCCAGCUCCCAUCCCCGCGCCCGCGCCAGCGACCAUCCCCGUAGCAUUGACGGGCUGGUCGCCGAGCACUAUCGCAGAGCUGGAAGCCGCGGGCAUCAGCGAGGUCUCCGCAGACCCGCGCGAGCUCGUGUACAUGCCAGCGCCAGCGCAUGUGCCCGUGCCCGUGAGCGCCCCUCCACCCACCGUGGCGCCGGCCCCCGUGCGUUUGGCUGCACCCGCCUCACCAGUGCGCGCCCCUCCACCCACUGCGGCGCCGGUCCCCGUGCGUUUGGCUGCACCCGCUGUGCCCGUGCGCCCCCCCUCAGCGGCGUGGGACGCUGCCGUCGACCGCUACCUCUCAGCGGUGCCAGUUGCCGUCCUCCCGCGCCUCGCCCGUCGAUCGCGCGACGACAUGAUGUUUGAUUUUCAAGUGAAGAACAUUUUGUUCUUCCUUGAAGACUUCAACAAUGGCGUCCCGGAGGACGACAACGAGAACGACGGUGCGGCACGCCGCCUCCGCCGCCGCUGGAAAUAUUUUUUUGGGGUUUAAUACUGUAUCUUGAAUUCUCGAUCAUAUGAAUAUAAAUUCGCAGUGUGACUGAAUGAAAGAUAUGGUUUGAACGAACUUGCGUUUUUCUCUCUUAAUGUAUAGACUUAUCAAAUGAAUUUCUUAAAAAAACGUCAACGGUUUUUAAAUAUAAAACACUCAUCGCAAACGUUUUAGUUAGAACACCCGUAUGCAAACCGACAGCUUCCCCAGGAAGCCAUGGGAAAAUGUGCCGAGCAGGAUUUCUGCAUCCCUUCAACGCAAACAGUUAUUUUGGAUGACCCGUGUGCAACCACGUACAAACAAUUGGGUAAGAUUUGCAUGUCUGUCAUUUUGGGUAUGUUGCCAUUUCUCAAACUGGAAAGAUUGACAUUUUUUUAUCUACUAACAUUGCCAUUUGUCAACCUUGUAGCACUGCGAUUUGUCAAAAUAUGCAGCUACAAAUCACUAGCACUAUCUAAUUUUUGCAACUAAAAUCACUAGCACUGUUCAUAUGGACACCACUAGCAUGCGUGAGUUCAUGGACGCAUAUGCAAAUGUACCAUUGAUUACAUACAACAAGUCAUCAACCCACAACGACAACAAGGAUACACGUUGGAUUAUAGAUCAUUUCCAACAAAACAUUCUAGUAAAGUUUUUCUCACACAACAAAUAACAAAGCGAUGAAAUGAACUUUAGCUCAAUGACUCAUCGGCGUUGGAAACGCUUGCUUUGAACCAGAAGUGAUUCUCUGUGAAGGGCCAGCUACUGUCAAUCUCGAGACCAAUGCAGGACUGAUCAUCGAGGCUGAAGCAGCCUAUGUCAGGACCCAUAUUGGGACGGUAGGGAAGCAUAGUAAUGUCCGAGGUAUAAGUACAGUUGCUUCUCAUAAAUGGUAGUAACAUUGUGUCAACAACAGCUGGAUCGCCUUCCACCAUCAUUGGAUAGUUUUGUCCAAGGAAGAGCGAGUUUCCUCCAAGACUUUCAAUACUGAACAAGGGAGAAGGUGUUGGCGCUAGUACACUAGUAUCCAUCCUGAAUACCCUGCAACAGAUGUUGGAAUAGGUCCGGAGAGUGCGACCAUACGAGACAACACCUGCUUCCUUAGUAACAUCAGUAGUGCCCCAUAUACAGACAAGAAGAGGUGAUCCAUCAGAAUAAGUUGCCAGGCGCCACUGAGUAUAUGGGUCCUACUCGUCCUCAUGCUCGUGAAUAAAAUUUUCAAGUAUAGGUGGUGGAAUGUUCACAGGAUCUUGGAAACACAAGAAGGUUAAUUAGUAAAGGGAAACUAGCUAACCCGCAUGCAUGUGGAUGAAACAAUUAUAAUUACGGUGGAAGACAAACGUACCGAAAGCAUGAUGAUUCCAUGCAAAAACAGUUCCACAAGUGGUGGCAGCAAACACAAGACCCUCGUAUUGAAUUGCAUCACAGUACUCAUCCGUGUACAUAAAUUGAUUUUUGAGCAAUAUGCAUCGAGGCGUGUGUAACGCCCACGAUGCGGCUAUAUCUCCCACGUGUCGAGGCACGACUUAGAGGCAUAACCGCAUUGUGGUUUUGUCGCAAUAAGGGUCAUCUUCACACAAUCCCAUGUAAUGAACAAGAAUGGGAUAACGAGAGUUGGCUUACAAUCGCCACUUCACACAACACAUAAAUAUAAUUCAUACAUCAUCCAAAAUCCACACAUAGACCGACUACGGUCAAAAUCCAAAUGAAAAUAUGAUAACCCCAAAUGCUAGAUCCCCGAUCGUCCCAACUGGGCUCCACUACUGAUCAUUAGGAAAAGAAACAUAGUAACGACCACGUUCCUCAUCGAACUCCCACUUGAGCUCGGUUGCGUCAUCUGCACUGGCAUCGUCGGCACCUGCAACUGUUUUGGUAGAAUCUGUGAGUCACGAGGACUCAGCAAUCUCACACCCACGAGAUCAAAACUAUUUAAGCUUAUAGGAAAGGAUGGUGUAAUGAGGUGGAGCUGCAGCAAGCACUAAGCAUAUAUGGUGGCUAACAUACGCAAGUGAGAGCGAGAAGAGAAGCAACGCAACGGCCGCGAAGCUAGAAAUGAUCAAGAAGUGAUCCUGAAACUACUUACGUUCAUGCAUAACUCAAACCGUGUUCACUUCCCGGACUCCGCCGAGAAGAGACCAUCACGGCUACACACACGGUUGAUGUAUUUUAAUUAAGUCAAGUGACAAGUUUUCUACAACCGGACAUUAACAAAUUCCCAUCUGCCUCAUAACCGCGGGAACGGCUUUCGAAAGAUAAUACCCUGCAGGGGUGUCCCAACUUAGCCCAUUAUAAGCUCUCACGGUCAACGAAGGAUAAACCGUCUCCCGGAAAGACCCGAUCAGUCUAGGAAUCCCGGUUUACAAGACAUCUCGACAAUGGUAAAACAAGACUAGCAAAGCCGCCCGAUGUGCCGACAAAUCCCGAUAGGAGCUGCACAUAUCUCGUUCUCAGGGCAACACCAGAUGAGACUAGCUACGAGUAAAACCAGUCCUCAAGUUUCCCCAAGGUGGCCCCGCAGGCAGCUCGGUUCGAACCAACACUCGAAGGAGCACUGGCCCGUGGGGGUCUAAAAUAAAGAUGACCCUCGGGCUCGCGAAAACCCAAGGGAAGUGUAGGUGGUAGGUGGUCAAAUGGUAAAACCAAGGUUGGGCCUUGCUGGAGGAGUUUUAUUCAAAGCGAACUGUCAAGGGGGUCCCAUAAAUCACCCAACCGCGUAAGGAACGCAAACUCAAGGAACAUAAUACCGGUAUGACGGAAACUAGGGCGGUAAGAGUGGAACAAAACACCAGGCAUAAGGCCGAGCCUUCCACCCUUUACCAAAUAUAUAUAUGCAUUAAUUAAAUAAGAUAUAUUGUGAUAUUCCAAAAUAUCCAUGUUCCAACAUGGAACCAACUUCAACUUCACCUGCAACUAGCAACGCUAUAAGAAGGGCUGAGCAAAAGCGGUAACUUAGCCAAACAACGGUUUGCUAGGAAAGGAUGGUUAGAGGCUUGACAUGGCAAUAUGGAAGGCAUGAUAUAGCAAGUGGUAGGUAGCACAGCAUAGCAAUAGAACGAAGAACUAGCAAAGCAAAGAUAGAAGUGAUUUCGAGGGUAUGGUCAUCUUGCCUGCAAGGUUCUCAGAGUUGUCGAAAGCUUGAUCCUCGUAAGCGUACUCAACAGGUUCCUUGUUCACGAACUCAUCUCCCGGCUCUACCCAGAGCAAGAACCAAAGCAAUGAAACCACAAUCAAUCACGGGAAAUGCACAAGCAACAUGAUGCAAAACAUGUAUGAUAUGCGAGAUGUGGUAUGCGAUGCAUAUGCGUGCUCCGGAAGAAAAAUGAUGAACAAGGCAGUAACUUGGCAAACCAAGUAUGCCACUGGAAAGAUGAGAUGAUUUCGGUCGAAAUCGAUAUAAAGAUCACCGGAAACGGAUGCACGGUUUGCAAAUGGCAAGCAAAACAAGAAUGACACGAAUCUGCGAUUAACAGCAUGAUAGCACUUAGAAUGCAACAAGUAACUAUGCUACAGCACUCCAAGAUAGCAACAAAACAUAUGGCAGUAAUCUACAGGAGAUGCUUGAAAAAAGAUGAACACCGAGCUAUGGCUAGAUCACACCACAGAAUGUUCAAACAAGCAUGGCAAAAGUGCAAAAGAUAUCAGGUUCACAGACUCGGUAAAAUUACUGGACAUGGCAGAAACAACAUCAGGUAGCAAUGUUCAGAGCAAGCAAUCGACAUGCUACAGGAACUUAACAUAGCAAAACAAGGCAUGGCAUGAAUCUACUAAAUGCAUAUGACAAAAGUCCUUUACUGACCAUGAGCCAAAAAGGAUCAGAAGAUAUGAUGGCAACCAUGUAACAUAGCAAGUUUCGUUAACAGGUUUCAGACUUGGCAGAAAACAGAGCAUGGCAAAAACAGACAUUAUGAGGGCAUCUUGGUGAGCUUGAUUCACUCAUCACAAGGCAAUGGAUGACAAAAAAAGCAUGCCUACAGCAAGAUGGCAUGUUUAUGAAGCUAUCCAUGGCAAGAGAAAAUACAUACCAUGUAUGAAACAACUACAACAACCUUGGUAAAAUUGAGUAACACGUAAACAAUCUGCCAGAAAUAUUUUAUAGCAAAAGUAGAGCAAGAUUAAGACAUGCUACGGCACUCCAUAAUUUCAAACAGGGGCAUGACUGGAUAUAGCACAACUAUAUCUACAAAACAUCUUUACUGAACAUCAGCAAAAGAAGCAUUGAUCUCUCUGUAGCCACAAAGAUACAUAGCAACAAAAUAACAGCAGUCACAGACGGUAAAAUUACUAAGUCCCUGAAAUCAGAAACAUCACGAAGCCUAGUUUGCAUGCUUGUGCUAGUCACCACAGAGAUCACAAAAAUACAUGGCAUACACCUCUGUAAAGAUGGCAUGGCAUACAUCAAAACACAUGUAGAGCUCAUGCCCAUAAGAUGCACGCAUCAAAUGCAACAAAAAUAACAAAUCCUCAUGUUCUGAUAAGUAACAGCAGUUAACAGCAUAUAGCACUCUUGCACCAGAGAUUUGGGCAUCAACAUGGACUCAAAUGAACAUGGCAUAAUGGAACAAAAUGAAGAGAAACUCGAGAUGAACAUUUCGACAUAUUACACGCAUGAAACGGAGCUAUAUGCAGAGAGUUAUGAUGCAAUGAACAGAGGCAUAUAAUGUAAAAAUAUGAGACUUAGAAGAAUUCGGGGGAGAGGAGAAGUCAACCCACUGUCCAGAUCUGGAUUGGGCGCUCGGCUAGGGCUCGCCGGGGUGGCUGCCGGAGACGGAGGACGGGGCGGCCGGAGGAGGCGUCGCCGGGGAGGAGGAAGAAGGGGCGCGGCGCCAGCGACGGGGGGACGCGGCGGCGCGGGUGCGGGUGCNNNNNNNNNNNNNNNNNNNNNNNNNNNNNNNNNNNNNNNNNNNNNNNNNNNNNNNNNNNNNNNNNNNNNNNNNNNNNNNNNNNNNNNNNNNNNNNNNNNNNNNNNNNNNNNNNNNNNNNNNNNNNNNNNNNNNNNNNNNNNNNNNNNNNNNNNNNNNNNNNNNNNNNNNNNNNNNNNNNNNNNNNNNNNNNNNNNNNNNNNNNNNNNNNNNNNNNNNNNNNNNNNNNNNNNNNNNNNNNNNNNNNNNNNNNNNNNNNNNNNNNNNNNNNNNNNNNNNNNNNNNNNNNNNNNNNNNNNNNNNNNNNNNNNNNNNNNNNNNNNNNNNNNNNNNNNNNNNNNNNNNNNNNNNNNNNNNNNNNNNNNNNNNNNNNNNNNNNNNNNNNNNNNNNNNNNGCCGGCGACGAGGCAUCGCUGGCGGCGGAGGGCGGCGAGGAGGCGCGGGCGCGGCUCGGGCCACGGAAGAAGCGUCCGGCGGCGCGGAGGGGAAAUGAACCAGGGUUUGACCCGGAUUUCGGAGGGGGAGGUGUGUUUAUAGGUAGAGGGAGCUAGGAGACUCCAAAUGGAGCACGAUUUUCGCCCACACGAUCGUGAUCGAACGACCUAGAGCAUGGAUGUGACUUAGAUGGGUUUGUGGGCUGUUUGGAGGGGGGUUUUGUUGCAACACACAAAAGGACUUUGCGGUUACCCGGUUAACCGUUGGAGUACCAAACGACCUCCAAAUGGAACGAAACUUGACAGGUGGUCUACCGGUGGUAUACCAAGGCCACUUGGCAAGACUCGGUCCAUUCCAGGAACGUUCAACACCCGCUCACGAAAAGAAACAAGAGGGGUGCGCCGGAGGAUGUGGGAGUGCCGGAUUGCAAAACGGACAAUGGGGAAAAUGCUCGGAUGCAUGAAACGAACACGUAUGCAAAUGAGAUGCACAUGAUGACAUGAUAUGAGAUGCAUGACAUGAGCAAAAUGCAGAAUGAAAAACAAAACCCGACCACGAAGGGAAUAUCAUAGCACAUAGCCGAAAAUGGCAAGAGUUGGAGUUACAAAUAUGGAAAGUUACAUCCGGGGUGUUACAGCGUGGAAGUAAGGAAGGCAACAAGCUUGUCGAAGAUAGCAAUAACUUCAUAGUUCGAGUAAUCCCAAGAGCGGCUGGGAACUCGACAAAUUGCUAUCUUCCGUAGACGACAGUCAGCAUGAUCAUAUUUGAAUUCACGUAGAAUACCGGCAGUCGUCUGAGAUUUUUGGAAGUGGAACCCGGUGACGAGUGUAUACAUUCACAAGUUCCCACUCGCAGUUGUACCCAAUGUAAACAACCCAAUCUCCAUUUGCGCCUGCCCAAGCCUUGCGCUCAAGCGAUGGCAUCUUAACAUCAUACGUAUCAUUAUAGAGCGGCAUCAACUUGCACAAGGCGAGGCUUCCCUCGUCCCCGCGCCAGUCAGCAGGGUCAUGGCGAAGAAGAUAGGGGAGAUCAAACCGCUCCUGGACCCUUGGGUUCCUUGUAAUGAUGUUAUUAGUUGAGUCGAGAAUGGGCUUGAAAGAACCUGCCAUGCUAGCCGAGGUGAUGAUGUCGCACCGAUCAAUGAGUUCCUCCACCGCGUCAUCAUUCAGAUUGGGGCAAGAAUAACGGGGUCGUUUCCGGCUUGUUCCCUCCAUGGAGAAGAUGAUCAAACAAUGGCAGAAGGAAGGGUGAAGGCAAAUGGAGGAGGGAGGAAGAGCUAGCGUGCAACAGCAAUUCCAAAUCAAGAGAGAAAGGCGAAGAGUUGGUGGACGGUUGCCACGGUACACGAAGAGGCGCCUGGGGAGUGAACGACUGCCACAGAGGUCACACACUAACGACAAGGGCUGAGUGAACCGCAUGCAAUCCCAUCGCACAACACACACAUCUUGUUAAGUUGAACCGUUUCUGUUCUCUUGUGUCAACGCAAACAGUUCAUCCGAGUGAACCACAUGCCGUAUAUUGCACACACCUUGAUCUGGCUGACCGUUUCUUUUGUGUUGCCUAAUCACAAACAGUUCAUCCGAGUGAACCGUAUGCUGUAUAUCGCACACACCUUCAUCUGGCUGCCCGUUUCUUUUGUGUUGCCUAAUCACAAACAGUUCAUCCGAGUGAACCGUAUGCUGUGUAUCGCACACGCCUUCAUCGGGCUGCCCGUUUGUUUUGUUCCUCCUCACCACAAACAGUUUAUUGAACUGAACCAUAUGCCCUUCAUCGCACACACAACUAAGAUCUGAACCGUGUUUGAUGCAUCCUCCAUCGCAAACGCUUUCACCUUUUUUGACGGUUUUCAUACAACACCGUUUGCGAUUAUUGCAUCGCACACAGUUUCUCGAAGAUCGUAGUGUCGCGUUAGCAGCAUCCUGCAGUAGUGAUAGCAAAGAGCAGUUCAUAUUCCUGAAAUGCAGUAAGCAUCAAAAGCUUGCAGGCUUUCAGCAAAUAGCAGUUUCUAUUCCUAAAAGAUCACAAGCAUACUCUGCAUAAUAGUUGUCCAUGGCCAAAUGGUAAUGAACAAGAACAGGCAAGCAACUAAUGUAAAGCGGCAUUCAGAAAAAAUCAUGCUACAAGCAAAAGCUCCAUUUUUGCAAGUAACAAACUACACAGGCCAACCAGCGAACUCCGCAUGCAUGACCAACAACAAGCACAUAAACUCUAUCCUUGUACUGAAGUGUGCUUUAUAACCAGUAAAUCAACCAUGAAUAACAGCUAGCAACAUACCUUCAUUGGCUGAUUUGUUUGAGGAUCCAUUUAUUCUUCAUUCUUUCAGGCAGAGCCAUAAGAGCCUUGAACUUGCGGUCAUCUGCUAUGAGGAUAUCAUAAGCUGCCAGCAAGUCAUCAUCAUCAAGUCCAGCAAUUGCAUUGAGAGCAUCAAGUAUUUCUUUAGGAGAGGAGGGUUUAUCGCGAGGAACAACUUGAGCAAUAUCGGCUUUGUAGGCGCUUGUAAAAUUAUCCAGUUUUUCACCAAGUAUAGAUGCAAUUGAGUCAUCUGAUCGGUAUCUUUUCUUCUUCUAUUCCUCACCGGUUUGAGUAGAAGAUGUCACGGCAGACUCGAUGUUGACAUUGUUCACAUUCUCCGCAGCCAUUUCCGCAACACUUUCAGCGGCGGUUCUGGCUCCGAUUCCCGUGGCAUGAUCCUUCGAGAAGACAAGGCUGAUUGAGUCCCAAAACUUUGUGACAUUGUGCCUGUAGCAAGCGGCAUCUUUGUUUGCCUGCAAAACAUGAAGACAAAUAGUCUCAUAUCAUGGUGGAAAAUGUAACACACAUCCAUCCGAACACCAAAUACAAAUCCAAAGAGAAAACAUGGACAUCAUGAUAUAUCAGUACAAGUAUGAGUGACAAUAAAAGAUAGUAAUUAAGUAAGAAACGAGACCACAUGAAAGAUGAAACUGAAUCUUGUGGCCAUGCCAUGAAUACAUAGUUGCUCAAGAUGUAGUGCUUACCUUGACAUAGUUGCUCCACACGUCCUCACUAUCAACCAUAAGCUUGUUAUGGAUCCAAUCCCACCCAAAACCACUCGUUGACAACAUCUUGCUAGGGUACCUGUUCGCUGGAAUUCAGAAAUGAAAUCGAAUGGUCAAUUUCGUGACAGCCAAACAAGUUGGCAUCGAAUUUCGGAAAUGAAAUCCGCGAAAUCCGGCCAAAUGACAGGAGCCAAACGAGCUGUAAAAAAACUCAAAAUGAUAGCCUACUGUUUUUCAAGGAAAACGGUACGAGAGCAUCAGAGGUGUCAAACCUGGUUGAAUCAUAUUGUCAAGUUUCAGGGCAGAGAAUUAACAAUAGCAAAUCUUUUUUCUACUUCAGCAUAGGGUGUCCAGCUACUGUUAAAGAUGAGGUAAAAGGGAUUCUGAAUGUGCAUAAUGAGACUCUGAAUGAGAAAUAUUUAGGUAUGACAUCUGACAUUGGAGCAUCCAAAUACGGUGCUUUUAAGUAUCUGAAAGAUACUCUAUGGGGCAAAGUCCAAGGAUGGAUUGAGAAAAUGAUCUCGACAGCAGGGAAAGAAAUAUUGGUCAAGUCUAUCUUCCAAGUAGUCCCGGUGUACUCCAUAUCGUGCUUCAAAUUGCCAAGAAGUUUAUGCGCACACUUGAAUACACUCAUCCGGCAAAUGUUUUGGGGGUAGCGAAGAAGGCCAGCUUAAACCCAAUUGGGUAGCAUGGAAAGACAUGACUCAACCUAAAAGUUGCGGUGGUCUUGGAUUCAGAGACUUGGAGUUGUUUAACAUAGCUCUAUUGUCCGGACAAGCGUGGAGGAUCCUUGUCAGUCCCGAAGCUUUGAGCUCGCGACUACUUAAUGCCAUUUAUUUUCCCAACAGCUCCAUCGUCAAUGCCGAGUUGGGCUUCCAUCCAUCGCAAAUUUGGAUAGCAGUACUUGAGGGGAGAGGUGCACUCACACAUGGAAUAAUACAUAGGGUUGGAAAUGGAGCAACAACUAAGGUGUGGGAUCAUAACUGGAUUCCAUGGGACUCAUCCUUGCGUCCUUUUGUGAGCUUAGCACCUAAUCCUCACAUCCUUGUGAGCGAACUGGCCGACAACACAUCCUCUUGCUGGCGCAUGAACAUUCUUGAGAAAUUCUUCCUGUCGGCAGAUGUACAAGCGACCAAAAACAUCCCGUUAUGCACAAGCAAUGUUGAUGAUUUCUUGACGUGGAAUUUUGAGAGGAAUGAAGCCUUCUCUAUAUGGUCUUCAUAUAGAUUUUGGCUUUGAUCAAAAGGAACCGUCAGGCGCUGCUGGAGGGGCGACCUAGCUCUUUGAAUCCUUCAGAGGAAGAGAGGACUUCAAUUUGGCGCCUUGUGAGACACUCGCUUCCCACUAAGGACAUCUGCAAACACCACCACAUGAGUAACGUUGACAAUUGCCAGUUAUGCGGUGCGGUGGAUUCAUGGAAACACUCGCUCGUGGAGUGUACAUCAACAAGGUGUGUUUAGGCUCUGGUGGAUGAGGGACUCUCCAAAAAACUGACUGAGGCAAACAAUCCAAAUGCAAAGAGGUGGUUAUUUGAUCUCCGGGACUCAUUAUCUUGGCCGUGACUUUGUGGGCAAUAUGGAUUGCCCAAAGGAAAGCUAUUCAUGAAAGUAUAUUCCAGAAUCCCAUGGCUACUCAUUUGUACAUUGAGCGGUUCAUCAAUGAACUUGCGUCCAUCAAAGUAAUGCCGACAACCUUGACACACAGGCCUGCUAUCCGAAACACAAUUGGACAUCCCUCCUGGAAGCCUUUGGUCGAAGAGUUUUGCAAAAUUCAUGUGGAUGGGGUUCUGUCACAUGAUGGCAAUGUUGGAGCUUCAGCUGCUAUAUGCAGAAACCGAGAUGUUAGUUACUUGGGGUCCUCACCUCUUGUUCUCCGAGGUACCACCGACCCAACAACUUUGGAGAUGCUUGCUUGUCGUGAAGCAUUGGCCUUAUCUGAGGAUCUCUUUCUACCAAAGAUCGUUAUUGCAUGUGAUUGCAAGUCUGUGGUUGAUAACAUUAUGUCAAGGAGAGGAGGAAAUUAUGAGGCUAUUAUUAAAGAAUUUUGAACCAUAGCUAGUCCUUUCGUUAGUUGCCUUGUUACUUUUGAAGGUAGAACAUCAAAUAGUGAAGCUCAUAGUCUUGCCAAACACUCUACUAUGCAUGCUCAGGGUCGCCAAUGAUGACCCACAAGUAUAUGGGAUCAAUCGUAGUCCUUUCGAUAAGUAAGAGCGUCGAACCCCAACGAGGAGCGGAAGGAAAUGACAAGCGGUUUUCAGCAAGGUGUUUUCUGCAAGCACUCAAUUAUCGGUAACAAGUAGUUUGAUAGCAAGGCAAUGUGUAACAAGCAACAAGUAGCAAUUGUAACAAAGGUGCAGCAAGGUAGCACAAUCCUUUUUGUAGCAAAGGACAGGCUGGAACGGUCUCUUAUAAUAAGCAAAGCAUUCUUGAGGACACACGGGAAUUUCAUCUAGGCACUUUCAUCAUGUUUGUUUGAUUCACGUUCGCUGCUUUGAUAAUUUGAUAUGUGGGUGGACCGGUGCUUGGGUGCUAUUCUUACUUGAACAAGCCUCCCACUUAUGAUUACCCCCUCUCGCAAGCAUCUGCAACUACGAAAGAAGAAUUAAGAUAAAUCUAACCAUAGCAUGAAACAUACAGAUCCAAAUCAGCCCCUUACGAAACAGCACAUAAACUGGGGUUUAAGCUUAUGUCACUCUAGCAACCUAUCAUCUAAUUACUACCCCACAAUGACUUCCCUUAGGCCCAAAGAUGGUGAAGUGUCAUGUAGUCGACGUUCACAUAACACCACUAAGGGAAUCACAACAUACAUAUCAUCAAAAUAUCGAAUGAAUACCAAGUUCACAUGAUUACUUAUGACAAGACUUCUCCCAUGUCCUCAAGAACAAAAGUAACUACUCACAAAUCAUAUUCAUGAUCAAGAUCAGAGGGGUAUUGAAUAUCAUUAAGGAUCUGAACAUAUAAUCUUCCACUAAAUAAACCAACUAGCAUCAACUACAAGAUGUAAUCAACAAUACGAGUAACCCACAUGUACCAAUCUGAGGUUUUGAGACAAAGAUUGAAUACAAGAGAUGAACUAGGGUUUGAGAUGAGAUGGUGCUGGUGAAAGCACAAGUGCUCCCUGGGUGAUUUUGGUAAUUAAUGUCAACAUAUCUCUUGUUGGACUAAUAUUUUCAUCUAGUAUAUUUCAGAUGAGUUCAACAGUGGAGUGGCUUGGACAAGAGGAUGUGGAACCCCUUCAAGAUGCUAAGGACAAACAUUAGAAAAAGCUCAGGACUCUACAUUUUCAUUUUAGUGGUCCAAGAUCACAUCGAGUCCAUAGGAAAAGCCAAUACUAUUAAAAGGGGAUGAGGUGUUGCUUAAUGGAUUGCUUGCUCAAAGUGCUUAGUGAUAUGCUCCAAAGCCCUCAACCACUUUUCUAUUUCCACAUAUGUCCUAAACCUAAAGUCAAACUCGGCCCUACCGAUUUGAUCUAUCCGGCGCCACCGAGUUCACUUGACAUAGCCACUGCCAUAAACCCUAAUCAGUUCGGUCUCACCGAGAUGGGCUUGCAAACUCUCUAUUUCCCGUUGCAAUUAUUUCGGUCCCACCGAGAUAUGCAAUCUGUCCCACUGAGUUUGCUUGACCAACUCUCUGUUUGCUCAUUACCAAAAUCGGUCUCACCGAGUUUGCGUAAUCGGUCAAACCGAGUUGAGGUUUUACCCUAACCCUAGCACAUUGGUCCCACCGAGUUGAUCACGUCGGUCCCACCAAAAACUCUAACAUUCACAUUUUGAACCAUAUCGGUCUGACCGAGUUUCUCGAUUCGGUCCCACCGAGUUUGGUAAAUUGCGUGUAACGGCUAGAUUUUGUGUGGAGGCUAUAUAUACCCCUCCACCCUUCCUCCACUCGUGGGGAGAGCUAUCGGAACGUGCCUACACUUCCAGCAUUCAUUUUCUGAGAGAGAACCACCUACUCAUGUGUUCAGACCAAGACAUUCCAAUCCAACCACAAGAAUCUUGAUCUCUAGCCUUCCCCAAUUUGCUUUCCACUCAAAUCAUCUUUCCACCAUAUCCAAAUCUGUGAGAGAGAGUUGAGUGUUGGGGAGACUAUCAUUUGAAGCAGAAGAGCAAGGAGUUCAUCAUCAACACACCAUCUAUUUCCUUUUGGAGAGUGGUGUCUCCUAGAUUGGUUAGGUGUCACUUGGGAGCCUCCGUCAAGAUUGUGGAGUUGAACCAAGGAGUUUGUAAGGGAAAGGAGAUCGCCUACUUCGUGAAGAUCUACCCAAGUGAGGCAAGUCGUUUGUGGGCGAUGGCCAUGGUGGGAUAGACAAGGUUGCUUCUUCGUGGACCCGUCAUGGGUGGAGCCUUACGUGGACUUGCGCAACCGUUACCCUUCUUGGGUUGAACUCUCCACCAAUGUGGAUGUACGAUAGCACCACCUAUCGGAACCACGCCAAAAAUGUCCGUGUCUCCAAUUGCGUUUGCAUUCUCCAAUCCCAUCCCUUUACUUUCUUGCAACUUGCAUGCUUUACUUUACGCUGCUCAUAUACUCUUGCCAUGCUGGCUUGAAAUGUAUUGUUAAUGUUUAAACUUGUACUAGAACUCCACCUUAACUUAAAGAAAUUAAAAACUGCUACUUUUCUUUGUUGAGGGUCUAAUCCCCCCCGUCUAGACACCUCUUCUCUAUCCUUUCAAUUGGUAUCAGAGCUUUGGUCACCAUUGCUUUGGUCACCAUUGCUUUGGUUUAAUCACCAUUGGAGGAAGAUGGGUGAGUCUAUGUUGGGAAGUUUUAGAUAUAGAGUGCCUAUACUUGAUGGAGAGUUCUUUCAUGCUUGGAAAAAUGAGAUGCUUGAGAUUUUCAAUGAAUAUCACUUGAACAAGUAUAUUACUAGCCCUUGUGCACCCCUUGUUGAUCUGUGGCAUCCUACUCCCGAUGAGUCUCUUGACAUGAUCCGCAACCUUAGAACUGCCAAUCUUACUAGAGGUUUGCCUAGAAAUUUGAUUGUUCGCUUGCCUACUCUUGAUUGUGCUUACACCAUAUGAAGAUUUCUUGAGGAACGAUUUCCAAACUAUUCCUUGCAAAAUCUAGAUGUGAUUCUUCAUAAGUCAAUUGCCUUAAGUAAGAUGAAUUCCAAUGAUCCUAAGUUUGGUGAUUGUCUAUUUGAGCUUCGUGACCUUAUGCGUGCCAAAGGAGAUGUUGGAAUCAUUAGCAACAUCAUUUCCGAAGUCAUUAGAAUUCAUAAAGAUUAGCAUUGUCAAGAUCCUAUAUCUAAUGAAUCACUCUCUCUAGCAAAUGAUCAAUUGCAAGACGAUGCUGAACAUGGAUACUAUGAUGAGGAUGAUGAUGGUGACUUUGAUCUCGAUGAGUCUAUGAGACACUUUGGUCUUAUGGCUAAUCUUCACGGCUACAUGGCUGGAGGGAAGGAAUGGGUUCUUGAUAGUGGAUGUCCAAUCACAUGACCGGAGACAAGGAUAUGUUUCGUGAGCUUGCUGAAAACGACGGCCCUCGAAAGUUUGUCACUUUUGGUGAUAACUCAAAGGGUAACGUGGUUGGCCUUGGUAAGGUGGCCAUCUCACAUGAUAGCUCCAUACAAAAUGUUAUGCUCGUUGAAUCUCUUGGCUAUAAUUUACUUUCUGUUUCUAGACUAGCGGACUUUGGAUUCAAUGUCCUAUUUACUGAAGUAGAUUGCCAAGUGUUUCAAAGAGAUAAUCAUAAAAUGGUCUUUACUGGUAUACGUAGAGGUGAUCUAUACAUUGUUGAUUUCACUAAAAAGGCUCAACCUAGAACUUGCUUAAUUGCUGAAUCUCUGAAGGUUGGUUAUGGCAUAGAAGGUUAGGUCAUGUGGGCAUGCGAAAUCUUGAUAAGCUUAUUAAAGGUGAUCAUAUACUUGGAGUAAAAGAUGUUAUAUUUGACAAGGAUAGAUUGUGCAGUGCUUGUCAAGCAGGAAAACAGGUUGGAGGAAGCCACCCCGUGAAGAACAUCAUGACCAAGAGAAGACCGGUGGAGCUACUUGAUAUGGAUCUCUUUGGUCCAAACGCCUAUAAAAGUCUCGGUGGAAACUCAUUUGGUUUAGUCAUAGUCGAUGAUUUUUCAAGAUUUACAUGGGUGUUCUUUCUUGAUGAUAAAUCGCAGGUCCAAAAGAUCUUCAAGAACUUCGCUAGGAAGGCCCAAAAUCAAUUUGAAGUGAAGAUCAAGAAGGUUUGCAGCAACAAUGGAACGGAGUUCAAGAACGCAAAUGUGGACACCUUUCUUGACGAAGAAGGGAUUUCACAUGAGUUCUCGGCUACGUACACGCCUCAACAAAAUGGAGUUGUUGAGAGGAAGAACCGGACUCUUAUUGAGAUGGUUAGACCGAUGCUUGAUGAGUACAAGACGCCAAAACACUUUUGGGUGGAAGCGGUUGAGACAGCUUGUCAUGCAACAAAUCGUCUAUAUCUUCACAAGCUACAUGGCAAGACGGCAUACGAGCUUCUCACAGGUAACAAACCCCAAGUUGGAUAGUUUAGAGUAUUUGGCUCAAAGUGCUAUAUUCUUGACAAGCAUCAUUGUUCUAAAUUUGCUCCUAAAUCUCAUGAAGGUUUCCUACUUGGUUAUGGCUCAAACUCUCACACUUACCGUGUCUACAACAAUUUCACCCGAAAGGUUGAAGAGACAGUAGAUGUGAAGUUUGAUGAAUCCAACGGCUCGCAAGUAGAGCAAUUGCCAAUUGAUGUAGGAGACAAAGACCCUUCGGAAGCAAUCCAAGACUUGCCAAUUGGCAAGAUUCGUCCAACGGAGGUGAAGGAGAGUACCUCGUCCGUCGACGUGGAAGCUUCUACCGCACGACAAGGUGAACCGAGAGUUGACUCAGAGGCAUCCACAAGUGAGACAUGCCAAGAUGAAGAAAACGAGGAAGUACACCAAGAUGAACCUCAUCAACGUCCUUCUGCACCUCCACAAGAGAACAACAACACCAACAACGAAGAAGGCCAAGAGGAAGAACAAGAUGAUGAAGAAUAUGUUCCACCCCAAACCAAACAAAAGCUCUCACGAGUUAGAGCAAGAGUCUCAAGAGACCAUCCCGUCGAACAAAUCUUCAAUAAUAUCCAAACCGGGAGAAUUACUCACUCUAAAACUCGUUUGGCUAAUUUUCGUGAACAUUAUUCAUUCAUCUCUAGCAUUGAACCUAUGAAGGUUGAAGAAGCAUUGGAAGAUCCGGAUUAGAUAAAUGCCAUGCACGAAGAGCUACACAACUUUGAGAGGAACAAAGUGUGGACAUUGGUUGAGAAGCCCGACAACAACCACAACAUCAUUGGAACCAAAUGGGUGUUUCAGAAUAAGCAAGAUGAAGAUGGACAAGUUGUAUGCAACAAGGCCCGUCUCGUCGCUCAAGGCUACACACAAGUCGAAGGUAUGGACUAUGGUGAGACAUAUCACUAAAAAAAAAAGACACAUCCGUGACAUUUUGGGCCGAACGAAUUUUUUUCGUCAUGCUUAUGACACUUCUAUGAAGAUAACUGUGACAAAACCCGGUAUCAUCAUAGAUGUGGUGGGCUCCUACUUCUAUGACAAAAAAUCAUGAUAGAAAAUGGGCUUUUCG
Molecule: long non-coding RNA, 28928 nt
Filed under: Triticum aestivum (bread wheat)
Lineage: Eukaryota; Viridiplantae; Streptophyta; Magnoliopsida; Poales; Poaceae
Description: long non-coding RNA (TAES_LNC017794)
Rfam family: MIR1120/MIR1122 microRNA precursor family (bases 5292-5406)
Source: RNAcentral